This 284-nucleotide ribosomal RNA is filed under the name Segatella copri DSM 18205. RNAcentral's name for it is "Prevotella copri DSM 18205 partial 16S ribosomal RNA". It matches the Rfam family "Bacterial small subunit ribosomal RNA", at positions 493 to 776 of the family's 1533-position model. Lineage: Bacteria; Pseudomonadati; Bacteroidota; Bacteroidia; Bacteroidales; Prevotellaceae. The record is from RNAcentral.
UCUUUUCCUUUUUUGCCCGCCGCCGCGGUAAUACGGAAGGUCCGGGCGUUAUCCGGAUUUAUUGGGUUUAAAGGGAGCGUAGGCCGGAGAUUAAGCGUGUUGUGAAAUGUAGAUGCUCAACAUCUGAACUGCAGCGCGAACUGGUUUCCUUGAGUACGCAUAAAGUGGGCGGAAUUCGUGGUGUAGCGGUGAAAUGCUUAGAUAUCACGAAGAACUCCGAUUGCGAAGGCAGCUCACUGGGGCGCAACUGACGCUGAAGCUCGAAAGCGCGGGUAUCGAACAGG